UUAAGUAAUUAAAGGAUUUGCGAUGGAUGUCUUGAGGUCUAAUCUUUAAGAGGUCAAUAGUACCAAAAGUGUAUUUUGUUAAUAGCUUUUAAUACACAAUCUUAGGUGAAAACUUAGUUUUAUUUACUUCGGGAACAGAAUCAUCUAAUUACCGAAAGGAAAAGAAAUCAACCGAGAUAUUGAUAGUAACGGUGAGUGAAUUCAAUAGAGCCUUUCUAAUAAUAAAUCUAAUAAUAUUUUGGAAUAAAUAAUGAAUCAGUUUGAAACUGACAAUACAAAGUGAUAGUCUUAUAUUAGGUUAAUUAAUUAGAUAUUAAAAAGUAGUAUGGGUAAAACUGUAUGAAUAUUUUUAUAUAUUAUAAAAAGAAAUAAGGAGUAAUCAUCUUCUAAGGCUAAAUAUGAUUAGAUCAUCAAUAGUGAAGAGUAACGUGAGUGAAAGAUGAAAAGACAGUCGAUGACUUGUGAAAUAGAUCCUGAAAUCGUUAAUCUAUAAGCAGUCAGAGUCUAAUUUAAAAAUUGGAUAAUGAUGUACCUUUUGCAUAAUGAGUCAGCGAGUAAAUAUUAAUAGCAAGAUAUAAUAGAAGUCCUAGUGAAAACGACUUAGUUAUAAAAUAGCUAUGGUGUAAGUUAUUAAUAUUUGACCCGAAACCUUAAGAUUUAGCCAUGGUCAGAUUAUAAGGAUCGAACAGGUGAGUGUUGCAAAACUCUCUGAUGAACUGUGGCUGGCUAAGUGAAAGACAAAUCUGUUGAGGAUAGCUGGUUCUCCACGAAAUAUAUCUUAGUAUAGACUGUAAAACUAGUUCUAAUCAUGUACAGCACUGAUAUUCAUAUCUAUUUAGAUUUAAUAGGGGGGUUUAUAAAACUCUACCUUUGAAUGUUAACCUCGGAAUUGGUUAGAAUAAUAUUACAGAUUCAGACUAUUUGUGAUAAGGUGGAUAGUCAAAAGGGAAACAGCCCUAAACACAUGUUAAAGUUCUUAAAUUAAUAUUAAGUGAAUGUAAGGAUGUUUUAAUUCGAUGACAGUUAUGAAGUGUAUCUGGAAGUCGUAAUCUAAUAAUGAAAGUGUAACAACUCAAUAACCUAUUGGUUUAUUAUUAUUAAAUUAAUAAUUUACUGAAUUGAAGCGCCGAAAAUUCAUAGGAUCUUUAAAUAUUAUACUGAUACUGUGUUUACAUGUAAUAAAAUUAUAUGUAAGGUAGUGGAGUGUUCUAUUAUAGGACGAAGGUUAGUUUUUAUAUUAACUGGACUUAAUAGGAGUAAUAAUGCUGAUAUGAGUAACGUAAUAACAGGUUAAAUCCUGUACCUCUUAAGCGAUAGGUUUCUUAUUAAAUGUUAAACAGAAUAAGUUUAAACGGUCUCUAAGGUUAUUAAACUAAUGUUUAUGACUGAUGAGGAAUUUAUAUGAUAAGUUUUUCAAUAAAACUCAGGAAAAUAUAUAAAUAAUUACCGUACUAAAAACCGACACAGGUUCGCGCAUAGAGUAUAUCAAGAGGUGAAUCAAUUACCCUUAAGGAACUCGGCAAAUUGCACUCGUACGUUUGACAAUAAGAGUGACCACAUUAAGUGGUAUCAUACAAUCGGGACCUGCGACUGUUUCCCAAAAACACAGAUCUCUGCAACGAUUAAUUUCUUAGUAUAGGGAUCGAGUCCUGCUCAGUGCCAAGACGCUAAAUUAAUAACUCUAAUUAAAAGUUAGGGAAGUUUUAUAACGUCUGGUAAACAGCAGUCUUAACUAUAAGGAUUCUAAGGUAGCGAAAUUCCUUGGCCACUAAUUAUGGUCCUGCAUGAAUGGAAGCACGAUGGGUCCACUGUCUCAAGGGUAAGUUCAGUGAAAUUGGAGUGGUCGUGAAGAUACGAUCUAACUGUAGAUAGACGGGAAGACCCUAUGCAGCUUUACUGCAGCUAACUAUUGUAAUAGUAAAAAUUAUGUUCAGGGUAGAUGGUAGUAUAUGUAUACCAAUAUGUAUACGUUGAUGAGACACCAUCCUUAAUUUUUCACUAUUAUUUACCAAAAUAUGGAACAGUAGUUAGUGGGUAGUUUGUUUGGGACGAACUUCUCUUAAAAAGUAUCAGAGAAAUGCAAAGUAAAACUAAGUUCGGAUGGAAACCGAAAGAUUAUUGUAAAUCUAAGUUAACGUAAUAGUUUAAGUUUUGCUGACUGUGAGACCGAUAGGUCAAUCAGGUACGCAAGUAGGUUAUAGUGAUCCGCUAAUACCGUAUGAUUGGGUUAGCGCUAAUUAGAUAAAAGCUACGCUAGGGAUAACAGCUUUAUCCCCGGAGAGAGUCCAUAUUGUCCCGGGGGCUUGAGACCUCGAUGUCGACUCAUCCUAGCUCAGGUGUGUAUCAGCACCUAAGAGUUCAACUGUUCGUUGAUUAAAAGGGUACGCGAGUUGGGUUCAGUACGUCGUAAGACAGUACGUUCCCUAUCUUCUACAGUGAUUAUGUGCUAAUGUUAGAGCAUUAUCUAGUACGAAAGGACCGAGAAAUGAUCUAUCACUGGUGACACAGUUGUAAUAUAUAUUGCAUUUGCUGUUAAGCUAAAUAGAUUUGUGAGAAGUUCUGAAUGCAUCUUAAGAACGAAACCAACUAACGGAAGCACACUAUUCUAAUAUGUUUAGAAUAAAAAGAGGAAGACUACCUCUAAUUUAAUAGGCAAAUGAUGUUAAUUCGUAAGAAUGUAGUCUAUUUGUACUAAUUUUUUAUAAGUGACUUAA
Molecule: ribosomal RNA, 2714 nt
Filed under: Maconellicoccus hirsutus (hibiscus mealybug)
Lineage: Eukaryota; Metazoa; Arthropoda; Insecta; Hemiptera; Pseudococcidae
Description: bacterial LSU rRNA
Rfam family: Bacterial large subunit ribosomal RNA
Source: RNAcentral